Molecule: unclassified non-coding RNA, 305 nt
Filed under: plant metagenome
Description: partial contains 5.8S ribosomal RNA, internal transcribed spacer 2, and large subunit ribosomal RNA
Rfam family: 5.8S ribosomal RNA (bases 1-104)
Source: RNAcentral
AAAUGCGAUAAGUAAUGUGAAUUGCAGAAUUCAGUGAAUCAUCGAAUCUUUGAACGCACAUUGCGCCCGCCAGUAUUCUGGCGGGCAUGCCUGUCCGAGCGUCAUUUCAACCAUCAAGCCCCCGGGCUUGUGUUGGGGACCUGCGGCUGCCCGCAGGCCCUGAAAACCAGUGGCGGGCUCGCUGUCACACCGAGCGUAGUAGCAAUCACCUCGCUCAGGGCGUGCUGCGGGUUCCGGCCGUUAAACAGCCUUACAAAACCCAAUGUUGACCUCGGAUCAGGUAGGAAGACCCGCUGAACUUAAGC